UGUGGUCACAGCAAAUCUUUCUAAAGCCCUAACCAGUGGAGAAGGGGGUUGUAUGGAUACUCUGAACCCUGACUAGAACUUCCUGAAAGAUUUAUUACGAGAAAAACCUUCCUGGAAGCAGCUGAAGGACAAACACAGAAUCCCUGGCCGGGCAGAAGCCUCGUGGGCUGGUCGCCACUGUUUGAGAAGAGUCACAUCUUGGAGAUCACUGGGGUGAAGAAGUUUUGAGGAGCAUUGAAAUUUAGCCCCUACCGUCUGUGCAACCACUGUGUCGCAGCUUAGGGAGUCUGGCCUCAGAAAGCCAGGAACUGUUCUGGCAUCCAGCGAAGAGUGUCUGCAGAUUCUAGCCAGAUGCUGAUUCAAAACGAAACCAAGUGAAGGAUCUAUACAUUUUUUCCCUGACUAUUGAAAAUAGACCGUCAAUGGAAGGAGUCAGAAAACCCUAGCUUGGAAUCCCAACUUGACCAUUUCCAUUUCUAAAGGUCUCACAUGAGAGGAAUGUCCUGCCACCCCCAGAUGAAGAUCCAAGUUGUGCUGCCUCAGGAAAAGCCACCCUGGCAAGCCCCAGCUGUUCAUCUGGAAAAUGCAUCUUGCAACCGCUUUCGAGGGGUGGACGAGACCAUGUGCGACCUGCACAGUCUGGAACAGAAGGGGCUCAGUGAGGGCAGCGUGCGCUCCUCUCCGCCCUCCCAGUUACAGCUGCUGUCAAAACCUCAUGCUGGAAAGAGAGCAGUUAACCCCAAGGAAGAGGGUUUCUCAAGGGUGUUCUGCGCCAUCCCUGUGUCACUGUGACCAGGGGCCUGUGCAGGAGGUCCCACCCCAGGCCUACUGACCAGCCCUGUGUGGGUGGACUUUGGGAACCUGUGUUGGAACAAGCCCCCCAUGAGCUUGUUGCAUAAGGCUCCCCAACCCAGGGCUCUUUCUGGACUACUGCUCUCACAGGCCUGGUCUUGUGACCAGAAAGGAAUUAGAAAGAUAACCCUCAUGAACUGCACCUGCUAGCUACAUGGAGCUUCAUUCAAGGAUCUUCUGAGCCGUGGAUUUACAGUGAUAUUUGGUUGCCUGGGGAAUUAUACCCACGGAAGCAAUCUCUGGAAUUACUCACACUUGGCCCAUUUCUGGAUGCUAAUGGUAGUUGUAAGGAAAGCCCUGACUGAGUGCCUCGCGGAUUUCUGCAGCCUGACGCCCAUGGGGUCAGAGGAUUGUGUCUUCCUGCAACAGCAGAGAUGUCUGUCCUCAUCUCAGACUGGAAUGUUUGUGGGUCUCUGCCAACUCCUUCGGGAGCUCCCUGUGAAAUAAUCCUGUAAUACCUGGGACUUAGGUGUCUUUCAUCUGAAAAAAACACAUGUUCCUUCAGUACACCAGAGGAACUUGAGAACUGUCCUUCCCUGAACUAAAGCUGGAAUAUCUUGGGAUUUGGAGACGGAAGGUUGGCCUGGAUUUUACAGGAGUCCUGAGCUCCUUUGGAGAUGUGCCUCUCUCCAGCACUGAGCUAUCUGCAUUCUUGAACAUCUCAGGGCCCAGAAGAAAAAGAAGAAAGCUGAUCAGCUCUUCAGAAUGGCCUGAAUCAGAGGAGACUGGGAAGAACUUGACAGAGGGCAUAGGCCCAGCAGUCACACUGACCUCGAGAGAAUCAUCCUUGUGCCUGGGGACCAGCGGACAUGUGACCAGGAGAAGGGGGCCUAGAACACAGCCAUAUCAAUCCAUACAGGGUGAACGCCCCCCACCACCUCCCCCACGACACAUAAUACAUUUUCCCCGAGAUGUCCCCCUGAGCUAUCUUCAUUUAAUGUGGCUUUGACAGGAUAGUCAGUCUGGAAAUUUUACUCUCAAUUAGACUUCCGUGUUGAACUGCCCUGGUUUUGGAAGGAUCCAUUAGGAUCGUUAAUUAUACAGCAGUUGCUACAAGGAGGUAUUUGCACUCACUUUCAGCUCCUAGGUAAUUCAAAUCAAAUGCUUUCUUUUCCUCCCUGGAGCCACGUGUGACCAUCUUCCCCUCACACUGCAGGCUGCUCCUGAGUUAUUUUGGGAAAUACAAAUCAAAGCAGCAAUUUUGGCGGAGGCCAUUUCUAGCCUAGCAAAGCCAUAUGUACUGAUACAAAGAGCCCAAGUCAGUGCCUUUAAAAAAGCCACAAAACCAGCUUCCUCUGUGGGGCUUAAAUUUUGUGGAACUGCAAACUAUCCUUUUUACUAUCAUCUUCCCUUGUGAACUCUACCUGAAGUCAAAGACAACUGGAAUUCCUUUGAAAUUACCAAAGAUCUGUCCAUUUGCAAACUGGUGCCGAAGAUCAUUUUGUUUCAAGAUGGCAGGCCUUAGCGGAAUUUUCUAGGGACUCAUGUUUUGGCCUCUGUUACUUUCCCACUCUCUGCUGCUCCUUUCUUUUACCAAGCAUAGGUGACAUAUGUCUUUACCCUAAUAAGCAGGCAAACCUCCCUGUGACCCGUUAGAACUUAAGCUCCCUGUGGGCUGGGGCUAAGUUUUUCAUCAUGUUUUGUGCCUGGCACAUGGUAAUGUGCUCAAAUAGUUGAAUGAAUAAAAUCCUAUUUCUGUUUUUCUCUGUCAAAAAAAAAAAUCAUUAUUAUAUAAAUAAUAAAUGAAUGUUUCCAUGUUGGGAAAAAGAAAACUUUCCAAAUAAGACUAAGGUUUUUUUUUGGAUCAUUACUUCCAAUCCUUAUUUCUUCAUCAUUUCUGCUUAAGUUAUCACAUUGGGGCACAUCCUUGCAGACCUUUCUAAUGCAUUUAUCUACACACACACCCUGAAUACUGUUUUUGUAGACCCUUGAUAAGCAGAUUAUUCUGCCACUUGCGUAUUCCCACUCAGCAGUGUAUCAAAGAGUGCUGCCCAGGUCAGCUGCCUUAUUCUUUGUGACUGCUACAGUUUUAUUACAUGGUGUGGAUAUAAUACUUUUCAUUUUCUUUCAGUUCAGGAUUUCUGCUUAUGUACAUGUUGGCAAACUAAAAUGUCCACUGCUGUCUUUUGGUGGCCACGACACAUUUCGUGAAAAUCAACCAACUGCCUUGGAGAUUAGGCCAAACCCAGUAGACAGAAGCAUGUGAAAUGCUAAGGGUUGCCAGAGAGACCUGAAUUCUCUUGUCUGCAGAAGCUGUGGAAGUACACCCUCUGCUAGAAAUUGUACAGGGCUUGCUAAAUGAGUGACGUUAGGUCUGGUGUUGGGUCUGCCCAUAGCCAGCUGGCUGUCCUUGGGCAGGUCAUUUCCUCUCUGUGGACCUUAUUUUCCUCAUCUGCACAAUGGGCAUAGAGAGCCUCUUUCACCCGUCAGACUCUGAAUAAUAGGCCUUACUUACACAGUGCCACCAGGAUUGAUAACCAGAAUGUAGUAGCUUACUCUCCACUACAUGUUAGGAUGGAAAAUGGGCAAUUUUUAAAUAGAUUUUAAUUUUAAUUAAUUAAACAUAUCUUAUCACAUUGAGUUAAUCAAUUAUAUUUUAUUAUGUUUUAAUUAACAUAGAUUUUUAAAUUUUUAAAUAGGCAUUCAGUCCAGAGCUCUUAGCCGAGUUGAUGUCACAAAGACAUUAUGUUGGCCAGAAAUGUACUGCCUUUGCAUCUUGCUCUUCUUUCUUAUUCUUAUUCAAUUAAAACGUAAUUUUUUUCUUUUG
Manis javanica (Malayan pangolin) is the source of this 3619-nucleotide non-coding RNA. The record is from RefSeq and is a predicted model, not a curated record. Lineage: Eukaryota; Metazoa; Chordata; Mammalia; Pholidota; Manidae.